RNAcentral lists this ribosomal RNA (253 nucleotides) under uncultured bacterium. Its description in RNAcentral is "partial 16S ribosomal RNA". It matches the Rfam family "Bacterial small subunit ribosomal RNA", at positions 524 to 776 of the family's 1533-position model. The record is from RNAcentral.
UACGAAGGGGGCUAGCGUUGUUCGGAAUUACUGGGCGUAAAGCGCACGUAGGCGGAUAUUUAAGUCAGGGGUGAAAUCCUGGAGCUCAACUCCAGAACUGCCUUCGAUACUGGCGAUCUUGAGUCCGGAAGAGGUGAGUGGAACUCCUAGUGUAGAGGUGGAAUUCGUAGAUAUUAGGAAGAACACCAGUGGCGAAGGCGGCUCACUGGUCCGGUACUGACGCUGAGGUGCGAAAGCGUGGGGAGCAAACAGG